This 253-nucleotide ribosomal RNA is filed under the name uncultured bacterium. RNAcentral describes it as "partial 16S ribosomal RNA". It matches the Rfam family "Bacterial small subunit ribosomal RNA", at positions 524 to 776 of the family's 1533-position model. The record is from RNAcentral.
UACGGAGGAUGCAAGCGUUAUUCGGAUUCACUGGGCGUAAAGGGUGCGCAGGCGGUUGGGUGUGUCAGAUGUGAAAUCUACAGGCUCAACUUGUAGUCUGCAUGAGAAACUGCCGGGCUUGAGUAUGGGAGAGGUGAGUGGAAUUCCUGGUGUAGCGGUGAAAUGCGUAGAUAUCAGGAGGAACACCUGUGGCGAAAGCGGCUCACUGGACCAUAACUGACGCUGAUGCACGAAAGCUAGGGGAGCAAACAGG